GAAAAAAAUGGGAUAAGAAAAAAAAGGGGCUUUUAGAGUGAAAAGAGGGAGUGAUAAGAAAACGAAUAGGAACUCAAGGAAGGAGUUUGAAAUUUGGAAAAUAAAAGGAAGAAUCCAAGAUCCCUUGGUUAAGUAAACAAAGAAGAAAGUUAUUUUAUAGGGAUUUGAAGGAAGCAAAAAAAGAGAAGAGAAAGAGACAAAGGGAAGCAGAAACCAUAUCUGAAAUGAAGAGAAAGGAAAGGAAGAGCAAGAAGGAAAGAGACCCACAAAAGCUGAUACUUGCAGUAUUGUUUUCAAAUGUUGAAGGCAACAUUUUGAUUGAGCAGUAUGCGUAAAUCUCCUGCUCAUUUCCUAUAAUUAUACAACUCUUUUUCUUUAUGUAUUAUAGUCUCUUUAGAUCAAUUAAAACUUAUUUUUGAGCUAUUGUGUCCUUAUUUUUUGUUUAAUUUUUCUGAUUUUGGGUAGAUUUUGCUUGGUUUUGAUUGCGAUUUGGCUAGAUCUUGCUGGGUUUUUGUUGAAUUUGAAUUAUAUGAUUAGGGUUUCCAUUAUAUUUUUCUCAAAAUUAGUAGUGAUUUAUAUGCCCUACUAUUGAUUUGUGCCUUUCUAUGUUGAGAAAAUAAUAUUUUUUUGAUAGAAAAUUUGAGG
Molecule: unclassified non-coding RNA, 645 nt
Filed under: Hevea brasiliensis (rubber tree)
Lineage: Eukaryota; Viridiplantae; Streptophyta; Magnoliopsida; Malpighiales; Euphorbiaceae
Source: RNAcentral